RNAcentral lists this non-coding RNA (113 nucleotides) under bacterium 42. RNAcentral's name for it is "Bacterium 42 TPP sequence". It matches the Rfam family "TPP riboswitch aptamer (THI element)". From Rfam's summary of the family: Vitamin B(1) in its active form thiamin pyrophosphate (TPP) is an essential coenzyme that is synthesised by coupling of pyrimidine and thiazole moieties in bacteria. The previously detected thiamin-regulatory element, thi box was extended, resulting in a new, highly conserved RNA secondary structure, the THI element, which is widely distributed in eubacteria and also occurs in some archaea. Analysis of operon structures identified a large number of new candidate thiamin-regulated genes, mostly transporters, in various prokaryotic organisms. The record is from RNAcentral.
CACGUUCCCUGGGGGAGCUCCUGCUAAGCGGGGCUGAGAGGAGAGCGCAAGCUCUCGACCCCUUGAACCUGAUCCGGGUAAUACCGGCGGAGGGAAACGGGAAGUCAACCUGU